CCUACGGGGGGCUGCAGUGGGGAAUAUUGGAUAAUGGGGGGAACCCUGAUCCAGCCAUGCCGCGUGUGUGAAGAAGGCCCUCGGGUUGUAAAGCACUUUCAGUGAGGAAGAACGCCUGGUGGUUAAUACCCAUCAGGAAAGACAUCACUCACAGAAGAAGCACCGGCUAACUCCGUGCCAGCAGCCGCGGUAAUACGGAGGGUGCGAGCGUUAAUCGGAAUUACUGGGCGUAAAGCGCGCGUAGGUGGCUUGAUAAGCCGGUUGUGAAAGCCCCGGGCUCAACCUGGGAACGGCAUCCGGAACUGUCAAGCUAGAGUGCAGGAGAGGAAGGUAGAAUUCCCGGUGUAGCGGUGAAAUGCGUAGAGAUCGGGAGGAAUACCAGUGGCGAAGGCGGCCUUCUGGACUGACACUGACACUGAGGUGCGAAAGCGUGGGUAGCAAACAGGAUUAGAUACCCUUGUAGUC
RNAcentral lists this ribosomal RNA (465 nucleotides) under Vreelandella stevensii. Its description in RNAcentral is "partial 16S ribosomal RNA". It matches the Rfam family "Bacterial small subunit ribosomal RNA", at positions 338 to 795 of the family's 1533-position model. The record is from RNAcentral. Lineage: Bacteria; Pseudomonadati; Pseudomonadota; Gammaproteobacteria; Oceanospirillales; Halomonadaceae.